RNAcentral lists this non-coding RNA (31 nucleotides) under Mus musculus (house mouse). Lineage: Eukaryota; Metazoa; Chordata; Mammalia; Rodentia; Muridae. The record is from RNAcentral.
UAGAAUGGAUUUAUCUAUCAGGACCCAGAGG